Molecule: long non-coding RNA, 502 nt
Organism: Anoplophora glabripennis (Asian longhorned beetle)
Lineage: Eukaryota; Metazoa; Arthropoda; Insecta; Coleoptera; Cerambycidae
Exons: 4
Source: RefSeq, a predicted model, not a curated record
UUCUGCCAUUCAGUGGCUUAUGUAUCGCCGAGUUUUUGUUUUUUGUUCGUCAAUUACAAUAGUUUUUAAAUAUCACUGCUAUUACAGUGCGGGUUUUUAACAGUGAAUAUGUUGUUAAGUGCUUAAUUCAGCUAAAUGUGUUUCUGAACAUCAAUUUUGGAAGCUUACCUACCUACCUACAUAGAGAAUAUAAAAGAACUUGGACCUUCAUUGCACUGGAUAUGGUUGAGAUUGAGAUUUGCCGACGAUUAUAAGUAUGACCUAAGCAGUGCCUCAGGCAUGACCCAGGAAGAAACGAUGCAGCCAGUUGAUCCAGUUUGGAUAGAGCAGGUUUUGAGCACAACUCGAAACGUGCAACAACAGAGUCUUUGGUGAUUCAAAGAAUUUACGAGACGCUGCAACCAGAAACGCCAGAAUUGGAAACAACACGAAAAGCACAGGAGGUGACAGAAAGAUGUAUUUUUCAAACAUAAUGUAAUUUAAUUUUAUUAGAAGGCAACCU